This 1343-nucleotide ribosomal RNA is filed under the name uncultured bacterium. RNAcentral describes it as "16S ribosomal RNA". It matches the Rfam family "Bacterial small subunit ribosomal RNA", at positions 28 to 1378 of the family's 1533-position model. The record is from RNAcentral.
GACGAACGUUGGCGGCGUGCUUAACACAUGCAAGUCGAACGGAAAGGCCCUGCUUUUGUGGGGUGCUCGAGUGGCGAACGGGUGAGUAACACGUGAGUAACCUGCCCUUGACUUUGGGAUAACUUCAGGAAACUGGGGCUAAUACCGGAUAGGAGCUCCUGCUGCAUGGUGGGGGUUGGAAAGUUUCGGCGGUUGGGGAUGGACUCGCGGCUUAUCAGCUUGUUGGUGGGGUAGUGGCUUACCAAGGCUUUGACGGGUAGCCGGCCUGAGAGGGUGACCGGCCACAUUGGGACUGAGAUACGGCCCAGACUCCUACGGGAGGCAGCAGUGGGGAAUAUUGCACAAUGGGCGGAAGCCUGAUGCAGCAACGCCGCGUGCGGGAUGACGGCCUUCGGGUUGUAAACCGCUUUCGCCUGUGACGAAGCGUGAGUGACGGUAAUGGGUAAAGAAGCACCGGCUAACUACGUGCCAGCAGCCGCGGUGAUACGUAGGGUGCGAGCGUUGUCCGGAUUUAUUGGGCGUAAAGGGCUCGUAGGUGGUUGAUCGCGUCGGAAGUGUAAUCUUGGGGCUUAACCCUGAGCGUGCUUUCGAUACGGGUUGACUUGAGGAAGGUAGGGGAGAAUGGAAUUCCUGGUGGAGCGGUGGAAUGCGCAGAUAUCAGGAGGAAUACCAGUGGCGAAGGCGGUUCUCUGGGCCUUUCCUGACGCUGAGGAGCGAAAGCGUGGGGAGCGAACAGGCUUAGAUACCCUGGUAGUCCACGCUGUAAACGGUGGGUACUAGGUGUGGGGUCCAUUCCACGUGUUCCGUGCCGUAGCUAACGCUUUAAGUACCCCGCCUGGGGAGUACGGCCGCAAGGCUAAAACUCAAAGGAAUUGACGGGGCCCCGCACAAGCGGCGGAGCAUGCGGAUUAAUUCGAUGCAACGCGUAGAACCUUACCUGGGUUUGACAUGGAUCGGGAGUGCUCAGAGAUGGGUGUGCCUCUUUUGGGGUCGGUUCACAGGUGGUGCAUGGCUGUCGUCAGCUCGUGUCGUGAGAUGUUGGGUUAAGUCCCGCAACGAGCGCAACCCUUGUUCACUGUUGCCAGCACGUUAUGGUGGGGACUCAGUGGAGACCGCCGGGGUCAACUCGGAGGAAGGUGGGGAUGACGUCAAGUCAUCAUGCCCCUUAUGUCCAGGGCUUCACGCAUGCUACAAUGGCUGGUACAGAGAGUGGCGAGCCUGUGAGGGUGAGCGAAUCUCGGAAAGCCGGUCUCAGUUCGGAUUGGGGUCUGCAACUCGACCUCAUGAAGUCGGAGUCGCUAGUAAUCGCAGAUCAGCAACGCUGCGGUGAAUACGUUCCCGGG